This is a long non-coding RNA of Macrobrachium nipponense, 756 nucleotides long. RefSeq lists it as uncharacterized. The record is from RefSeq and is a predicted model, not a curated record. Lineage: Eukaryota; Metazoa; Arthropoda; Malacostraca; Decapoda; Palaemonidae. The transcript is spliced from 3 exons.
CUGAAGAUACCUAGCCUAAUUAACCUACUACCUACCUAUUUGGGAUAGGAUAUGCAAGCUAGCAUAGCUAGGCGUCCUCUGUUGGACAUCAACAUGGAAGGCCUGUGACAGAAACUGCUGUAACAUUUACAUCGCCUCAUCUUCCUAUUGCUUGGUGUGUUGGUUGAUGUUUCCUGAAUCCUUCAGCGAAAAUGAAGUCUGCCAAUUAACAGUCAAACACAUAACCUUGUGGAUAAAUCUAAAUGAAUCGGUACUUAUAAACUUCCUAAUAAACAGUUGAUAUAAGAUGUAGAAAAAUGCAGUUUCUACAUGAGGCAUUUGAAUAGUAAGGAAACCAUCAUCAAGCAGAAAUAAUGGUGAGGUUCCAGCUAGUGAGAUUCAUUGCGACAGUGUCUAUUGCUGCUCUUCUAGUCCUUUUCUAUAUGAUUUUGUUUGAUGGCACCACACCGAAACCUGUAAAGCUUGUGAAGAAUCAGGGAUGGAGUUCAAAGUUAAGUGAGUAUCCUGUGAUAGAAGGUUCUGCUGUUGAGUCUCAGUUCAUGGCUCUGAAAGUUAACAAUUGUUCAGGAAGUUUAAUGCAGCAACAUUAUGUUAAGUUAAAUAAUAAGUACUGGCAGGUAGUAGAUGAUGGACAAGUUUAUCUCUACAGUGGAUUUUAUGAUGCUAGGUUUGUCUACCUAAAAGUUGAAUAUCACUAUGUGAGAAUUAUUGGCAUGUCAGUUGGUAAAAUUAGUGGCAGAAAAUAUCACUGCAGUC